AAUCUAAAUGCAGUGCUUAUAUUCUUGGGCUCUGGAGUUAAAUAGAAGGCCUGGGUUGAACUCCUACUCUGCCACUUGGGAGCUGCUUCAGGCAAACUGUUUAAUCUAAGUCUCAUUGCUCACCUCUGUGAAAUUGGGACAGGCAUUGACCUCAGAGAGCUGCCAUGAGAAUGAAUAAGAUACGCAUAUUAUGCUAUUAUCCUAGCCCUCUACCUUAAACAUCAUAUUUGGUCAUUUAAUAUUAGCUGUUAGUACCAUGGUAAUAGUUUAGGAUUUGGUAAGCAGAACUCCAUCACGCAAUGAGUAACUGUAACAUCAAUGCCAGUAGACCAAGGAUAAAUCAUAUUUAUCAACGUGGUUGAAUCUAGAAUAACACAGGUCUGAAAUGCAAUCAGCUUAUGAAGCAGAUAUGAAUUAUGCCUUCUAUUCUAGUGUUAUAAGUUGAAUCACUCUAUCUAAUAUCAUCAGAAUUUACCCUAAAAGAAAGGAAUAUUGUAAUUGUAAAUGAUAGCAGAGGAGAAUAAAGGCCACCAUCAUGGAAAUAAAUGUCAGUAGAAACCC
Molecule: non-coding RNA, 561 nt
Filed under: Pongo abelii (Sumatran orangutan)
Lineage: Eukaryota; Metazoa; Chordata; Mammalia; Primates; Hominidae
Source: RNAcentral